GGGCCCGCACAAGCGGAGGAACAUGUGGUUUAAUUCGAUGAUACGCGAGGAACCUUACCCGGGCUCGAACGGCUAUAGAAUAACGAUGAAAGUUGUUAGCCAGCAAUGGCUGUAGUCGAGGUGCUGCAUGGUUGUCGUCAGCUCGUGCCGUGAGGUGUCGGCUUAAGUGCCAUAACGAGCGCAACCCUUACCGUCAGUUACCAUCAAGUAAAGUUGGGGACUCUGGCGGGACUGCCACCGCAAGGUGCGAGGAAGGUGGGGAUGACGUCAAAUCAGCACGGCCCUUACGUCCGGGGCGACACACGUGUUACAAUGGGGGGGACAAAGGGCAGCUACCCGGCGACGGGAUGCUAAUCUCCAAACCCUCUCCCAGUUCGGAUCGAAGUCUGCAACCCGACUUCGUGAAGCUGGAUUCGCUAGUAAUCGCGCAUCAGCCAUGGCG
This 442-nucleotide ribosomal RNA is filed under the name uncultured Bacteroidota bacterium. RNAcentral's name for it is "bacterial SSU rRNA". It matches the Rfam family "Bacterial small subunit ribosomal RNA", at positions 917 to 1359 of the family's 1533-position model. The record is from RNAcentral. Lineage: Bacteria; Pseudomonadati; Bacteroidota.